RNAcentral lists this long non-coding RNA (1352 nucleotides) under Mus musculus (house mouse). RNAcentral's name for it is "long non-coding RNA chr16:6973735-6975087". Lineage: Eukaryota; Metazoa; Chordata; Mammalia; Rodentia; Muridae. The record is from RNAcentral.
AUUCUGAAAAUCUCCAAAGUCCACUUUGCCCUGGAGCACAAAUUGGCUGAACUAUUUGGGAUGUGUUUAUAGCCAGCAUCCUGAGUGCCCGGCUGUUCUGUAGUACUCUGCCAUUUCAACAAGGCCCAUGACCUUCGUGCAAGGUACUGGCCCACUGAACUCUCAGCUUUUCUUUUAUUUAUGAUGUGUGUCUCAGGGACAAUGACAACAUCUGGGAAUUCACUAAAUGACAGUUUUCCCUUCCAUUCCUUUCUCUGGUUUAUUUUGCCCAAUGCAAUCCUAUUAAGGGAAAAGCUAAUUGGUCACUAGCUUCGUUUCUGCUUAGCUUAGCCAAAAAGUCAAUCACCAGCAGCCCAGAGCUGCUGCGGCUGCUCAGUGCAUGUAUUUCCAUCUCCAUUGGCUUUGCAGGUCCUGAGAGAAUCGAUGGGAAUAUGUUUAAUUCUAUUUUGAUAUUUUUCAUUUUCAGCAAAAUGGAGACAACCUUGUGAUAAUGAUAAAGAGAAAGGGGCCCUCUUGGAGAUUGCUUUUGUGAGAAAGCUGGGUGUGUCCCUGGGUGUUCUUGUCUGUUUAUGGGAGUCUGCCUGGUUUUCUGACGUCUUUGUUUGUACAGUAUGGGAGUCAUUCAGGCGAUGAUGCUGUUAGAGUGCAAAGCGAUGCUGAGUUCUCAGACAGAAGAGCAUUGCUCAGAGCACAUAAAGAGUAACCCCACUGUGGAGAAAAAGAGUUCAUCAGUGAGCUAAAUGCCAGCAGGCUCAUUCUGCACAUAAUAUGGUGAAUGGUGGCAAGUAGUCUAUUUGGUUUGGCUUCCAUUAACUGGUUAGAAAACUCCAACAAGAGAAAGAUCAAACUUUGCAGGAUGAAAGCUGACAGGGCAGGAUGUCAAGUUGGCUCAGUGGUAAAGUGUAAACCUGAGAGCCCAAGUUUGAAUCCCCAGAACCCAUAAAGGUGGAUGUAAUAAUAUGAAUCGGUAAUCUUGGUGUGGGGAGAAUGGGGAGGCACAUGUGGUUAUAGGAGAGUCCUUAGAAGCUUCCGGGCCAGCUAACCUGGCAUGUGCUACAAGUAAAAAAAAAAAAAGAAGUCCUUUCUCAAACUCAUGGAAGGCAAGGAUUGUCACCCAAGAUUAUCCUCAGAUCUGCACGUGCACACAUGAAUGCACAUGCAUACCCAGAAACACAUAUAUACAUAAACACACAUACACAAAUAUCUUUUAAAAGCAGACAAAGCAGCAUGCUACCUGUUAAAUAAGCCCCCUGCUCACAAAGAAGCAGAGACUAGCUUUAACAAACAUAUGCACUAAGUUCUAUUAAAGCUAAGCAUUAAAAAUAAAAUGAAACUUUCUAUCACAAACAACC